CGUAGGUGGCAAAGCGUUGUCCGGAUUUAUUGGGUUUAAAGGGUGCGUAGGCCGGUGAUUUAAGUCAGUGGUGAAAUACUUCAGCUUAACUGGAGAGGUGCCCAUUGAUACUGGGUCACUUGAGUACUGAUGAGGUAGGCGGAAUGGACGGUGUAGCGGUGAAAUGCUUAGAUAUCGUCCAGAACACCGAUAGCGAAGGCAGCUUACUAAGGAGUAACUGACGCUGAGGCACGAAAGUGUGGGGGAUCAAACAGGAUUAGAUACCCUGGUAGUCCACACUGUAAACGAUGAUCACUCGAUGUUGGCGAUACACAGCCAGCGUCUUAGCAAAAGCGAUAAGUGAUCCACCUGGGGAGUACGCCGGCAACGGUG
This 372-nucleotide ribosomal RNA is filed under the name uncultured organism. RNAcentral describes it as "bacterial SSU rRNA". It matches the Rfam family "Bacterial small subunit ribosomal RNA", at positions 526 to 896 of the family's 1533-position model. The record is from RNAcentral.